RNAcentral lists this ribosomal RNA (492 nucleotides) under uncultured bacterium. RNAcentral's name for it is "partial 16S ribosomal RNA". It matches the Rfam family "Bacterial small subunit ribosomal RNA", at positions 29 to 507 of the family's 1533-position model. The record is from RNAcentral.
AGUGAACGCUGGCGGUAGGCCUAACACAUGCAAGUCGAACGGCAGCACAGUAAGAGCUUGCUCUUACGGGUGGCGAGUGGCGGACGGGUGAGGAAUACAUCGGAAUCUACUUUUUCGUGGGGGAUAACGUAGGGAAACUUACGCUAAUACCGCAUACGACCUACGGGUGAAAGCAGGGGAUCUUCGGACCUUGCGCGAUUGAAUGAGCCGAUGUCGGAUUAGCUAGUUGGCGGGGUAAAGGCCCACCAAGGCGACGAUCCGUAGCUGGUCUGAGAGGAUGAUCAGCCACACGAGGACUGAGACACGGGUCAUACUUCUACCGUAGGGAACAGUGGGGAAUUUUGGGCAAUGGGCGCAAGCCUGGUCCAGCCAUACCGCGUGGGUGAAAUAGGCCUUCGGGUUUUAAAGCCCUUUUGUUGGGAAAGAAAAGCAUCAGGUUAAUACCCCGCUGUUCUGACGGUACCCAAAGAAUAAGCACCGGCUAACUUCGUG